RNAcentral lists this ribosomal RNA (301 nucleotides) under uncultured bacterium. RNAcentral describes it as "partial 16S ribosomal RNA". It matches the Rfam family "Bacterial small subunit ribosomal RNA", at positions 509 to 807 of the family's 1533-position model. The record is from RNAcentral.
CAGUCGCCGCGGGAAUACGUAGGGUGCGAGCGUUACUCGGAAUUACUGGGCGUAAAGCGUGCGUAGGUGGUGGUUUAAGUCCGUUGUGAAAGCCCUGGGCUCAACCUGGGAAUUGCAGUGGAUACUGGGUCACUAGAGUGUGGUAGAGGAUAGUGGAAUUUCCGGUGUAGCAGUGAAAUGCGUAGAGAUCGGAAGGAACAUCUGUGGCGAAGGCGACUAUCUGGGCCAACACUGACACUGAGGCACGAAAGCGUGGGGAGCAAACAGGAUUAGAUACCCGUGUAGUCCCUGUCUCUUAUAC